This 443-nucleotide ribosomal RNA is filed under the name uncultured bacterium. Its description in RNAcentral is "partial 16S ribosomal RNA". It matches the Rfam family "Bacterial small subunit ribosomal RNA", at positions 338 to 795 of the family's 1533-position model. The record is from RNAcentral.
CCUACGGGUGGCAGCAGUGGGGAAUAUUGGGCAAUGGGCGCAAGCCUGACCCAGCAACGCCGCGUGAAGGAAGAAGGCUUUCGGGUUGUAAACUUCUUUUCUCAGGGACGAAGAAAGUGACGGUACCUGAGGAAUAAGCCACGGCUAACUACGUGCCAGCAGCCGCGGUAAUACGUAGGUGGCAAGCGUUAUCCGGAUUUAUUGGGUGUAAAGGGCGUGUAGGCGGGAGCGCAAGUCAGAUGUGAAAACUCAGGGCUCAACCCUGAGCCUGCAUUUGAAACUGUGUUUCUUGAGUGCUGGAGAGGCAAUCGGAAUUCCGUGUGUAGCGGUGAAAUGCGUAGAUAUACGGAGGAACACCAGUGGCGAAGGCAAGUGUCCGGGGUGCAACUGACGCUGAGGCUCGAAAGUGCGGGUAUCAAACAGGAUUAGAUACCCGGGUAGUC